RNAcentral lists this ribosomal RNA (749 nucleotides) under Microbacterium sp. RNAcentral's name for it is "bacterial SSU rRNA". It matches the Rfam family "Bacterial small subunit ribosomal RNA", at positions 68 to 830 of the family's 1533-position model. The record is from RNAcentral. Lineage: Bacteria; Bacillati; Actinomycetota; Actinomycetes; Micrococcales; Microbacteriaceae.
GAUGAAGGAGAGCUUGCUCUCUGGAUUAGUGGCGAACGGGUGAGUAACACGUGAGCAACCUGCCCCUGACUCUGGGAUAAGCGCUGGAAACGGCGUCUAAUACUGGAUAUGAGCUCCUGCCGCAUGGUGGGGGUUGGAAAGAUUUUUUGGUUGGGGAUGGGCUCGCGGCCUAUCAGCUUGUUGGUGAGGUAAUGGCUCACCAAGGCGUCGACGGGUAGCCGGCCUGAGAGGGUGACCGGCCACACUGGGACUGAGACACGGCCCAGACUCCUACGGGAGGCAGCAGUGGGGAAUAUUGCACAAUGGGCGGAAGCCUGAUGCAGCAACGCCGCGUGAGGGAUGACGGCCUUCGGGUUGUAAACCUCUUUUAGCAGGGAAGAAGCGAGAGUGACGGUACCUGCAGAAAAAGCACCGGCUAACUACGUGCCAGCAGCCGCGGUAAUACGUAGGGUGCAAGCGUUAUCCGGAAUUAUUGGGCGUAAAGAGCUCGUAGGCGGUUUGUCGCGUCUGCUGUGAAAUCCCGAGGCUCAACCUCGGGUCUGCAGUGGGUACGGGCAGACUAGAGUGCGGUAGGGGAGAUUGGAAUUCCUGGUGUAGCGGUGGAAUGCGCAGAUAUCAGGAGGAACACCGAUGGCGAAGGCAGAUCUCUGGGCCGUAACUGACGCUGAGGAGCGAAAGGGUGGGGAGCAAACAGGCUUAGAUACCCUGGUAGUCCACCCCGUAAACGUUGGGAACUAGUUGUGGGGUCC